UCCCUGGUGGCUCAGAUGGUCCAGAAUCUGCCUACAGUGCAGGAGACCCAGGUUCGAUCCCUGGUUUGGGAA
This 72-nucleotide transfer RNA is filed under the name Ovis aries (sheep). It matches the Rfam family "tRNA". From Rfam's summary of the family: Transfer RNA (tRNA) molecules are approximately 80 nucleotides in length. Lineage: Eukaryota; Metazoa; Chordata; Mammalia; Artiodactyla; Bovidae. The record is from Rfam by way of RNAcentral.